GCAAAUCUUGCGUUGUAUUCUAAUUUCUAAAAUUCUUCAAAUAAUAUCAUGAAAAUUGUAUGAAAGCAGGGCGCUGUUACUGUAUACAACUUUAAUCAUGAAGUUGAAACUAAUAGUUGAAUGGAUUCAAAGACUCAAGAAAUUACCAGAAUGUAUAAUGAGAUGUGGUGACAAAUACUUCAUAUUUCAAGGAAGCCAUCAAAAUUAUUUAAGGAAUGGAGCUUUGCUACUUGAAGAAAGCAUUGCCCUGUUUCACGGCAGGGCUAAUCCUUUACGUCCUUUUUCUGUGGGUGAACUCAAUACAAUGAAUGUUGAAACACUUCCCAUCUAUAAAUUCUAUUUUCAUCAUUUGUACAAAGGCUCUUGGGAGGGAAGAGAUGUUUUGGUAGGAAAGGAUGAUAAUAUGAAACACAAGAGGCAUUGGGAGUACGUUUUGCACGAAAUUGUUGUGGCUACACAAAUGGCUACUCAUACUAAUGUCCAUAAAUUAAUAGGAUGUUGCCUUGAGACUGUAAAACCAGUUCUUGUUUAUGAGUCACUUGAUGAUUGUAUUUUACUUGAAGAUAAAACCCCACUUGAUGAUUGUAUUUUACUUAAAGAUAAAACCCCACUUGAUGAUUGUAUUUUACUUAAAGAUGAAACCCAAAACCAAAGACUAGUUUUAGAGUGGAAAGACAGGCUCAGAAUUGCGUGGGAAAUAUCUCAUACCAUUGCGUAUCUGCACACUGCCUUUCCCCGGCCUAUUAUUUAUAGGAAUUUGAACCCUAAUAGUGUUUUCUUGAGCCCAGAAAGCGCUAUCAAAUUGUGUGACUUUAGUCUGUGUGUUUCGAUUCCUAAAGAUCAAGAAUUUUUCAUGUCAGAGGAUUUACUAGGGACAAUUGGUUUUAUAGCACCCGAGUAUUUUCAUUCUGGAGAAGUUAGAGAGAGUACAGAUGUUUUUACUUUUGGUGUGCUUUUUCUUAUGCUUUUAACUGGAAAAUUUCCUAGAAAAGAUGAUUUAGUUUUUCUAAGGAAAGGUAUGACAGAAAUGUGCAUCAACAAGAUGAUAGAUCCUAAAAUAACCAGAAAUGGAGUAACCGAUAUUGAGGAGCUUCAACUCAGAUAUUCUAUACAGACUGCUCUUUUGUGUGUGUCAAACAAAGAGAACUGCAGACCAACAAUGGUGGAAGUUGCAAUGGAGCUGAUGAACAUCAUUAAGUCGCCCCAAAAUAUCGUUACCUCUAGUAAAUUUAAGAUGUUCCAGUUAAACCAUUACAACGAUCAUACCACUGAAUGUGAUGAUGAGUUUUACGAUUGUGACAAUGACAACAAUGACAAUAAUGAUGAGGAGUAUUAUGAUUGUGAGCAAAACAAAGAUCAAUGCAAUGAUAAUGCAUAAGAAUGAUCAGAUUGUAGAUUUAAUUUUGCAUUUCUUUGGAGUAAUUACUAAUUAGUGAGUAUGAGAACCGUUGGAUUAAACUUGCUGCACACCCUUGAUAUGAAGAGACACGAAUCACAUCUAUCAAGAUAUAAAAGAACGGAUGCUGAACUCCUAAGUGUGCUUGAUGUUAGUCUUCUAUUCUGAGCUUCUGAUCUGCUGACAGAUUGAGAGAAUGUUGUGUCGAUACUUUUGCUUUGUGUUCCCUGCUGUGAUGAUGAUGCUGCCUUGUCUUGUGCAACCAAGAACAGACCAAUUUAUUUAACAUCCCCCCUCUGGUUUGUGUAAAAGAUGUUUGAAAUGAAGGUAGAAUUUUUUGUAAAUAGAUCAGCUAUCUCAUUUCUUUAGGCAAAUAAGAUAACUGUAGUAAACUUUCAAGGACUUUCUCCCUUGUAUAAUGGCAGUUAAUGUCAAUAUGUUUAGUUGCUUUUAUGAAAGAUUGGGGUUUUGGUUAUGAAUAUAGCUGAUUAAUUAUCACAAAAUAAAGCGACUGGCUUGAUAAUAUGAACAUUUUCUAGAAGUCUAAUUAACCAAGUGACAUCAGAAGCAACACUGGUCAUGUCUCUAUACUCUGGUUCUGAACUAGACUUAGAAACUGUUUGUUGCUUUUUACUCUUCCAACUAAUGAGAGAGCUGCUCAACAUCAUGACAUAUCCGGUGAUAGAUUUUCUUGUGUCAACACAAGAUCACCAAUCAGAGUUAGAAUAAGCUUGGAAGACAAGUUUAUGUAGCUUGUUAGUUUAAUACCUUGCCCUCUUGUAGAGAACACAUAAUUCAAGGUAUGAAUUUGAUCCAAGUAAGAAUGAGGAUAUUGAUGUUGGAUCAAAGCAAGAUGAAUGAGCUGAGUUUGACUCUAUUGUUCUCGACUCCACUGAACACAAGACAGGACAUGACACACUAAAACAAGAUGUUCCUGAACAAAAUCAAGAUUCUGAGCUAGUGCAAGUGAGGCACAGUCUUGAGCAGCCAACAACAGAAGGUGUGCCAAACAAGCUCCUACACUCCAACAUACAUGGACUCCACUGCAUAGGAUCAAGAACAUCGUCAAGUGUCUUGAACAAGGAAGGAUGAAACAAAGUUCGUGUGCCAUCAGAGAUUUAGGAAAACAUGUAUAAUAGUUAGUUUUCUGCUCUGUUGUCCAUGUUUUAAACAAAUGAGCUAGCAAAGUAGUUAGUUACUGAGAUUGUUUAGUUGUUAUUUAGCCUCUUAUAGCCGUCAGGUCUUAAAGCUAUGUAUAGGCCUAGCCUCCUAUUGUGUAAUUUAGUUUUCAUAUUCAAUAAAGAAGUAAUUUUUCAGAAA
Amaranthus tricolor (Joseph's coat) is the source of this 2716-nucleotide RNA transcript. It is a transcript of the gene named non-functional pseudokinase ZED1-like, with no coding region annotated. The record is from RefSeq and is a predicted model, not a curated record. The transcript has 4 exons. Lineage: Eukaryota; Viridiplantae; Streptophyta; Magnoliopsida; Caryophyllales; Amaranthaceae.